Molecule: ribosomal RNA, 119 nt
Filed under: Schistosoma mattheei
Lineage: Eukaryota; Metazoa; Platyhelminthes; Trematoda; Strigeidida; Schistosomatidae
Source: RNAcentral
GCCGGCGACCAUACCACGUUGAAGGCAUCGGUUCUCGUCCGGUCACCGCAGUUAAGCAACGUCGGGCCCGGUCAGUAUUUGUAUGCGUAACCGGCUGGGAAUGCCGGUUGUUGCCAGCC